Molecule: small nucleolar RNA, 70 nt
Organism: Osmerus eperlanus (European smelt)
Lineage: Eukaryota; Metazoa; Chordata; Actinopteri; Osmeriformes; Osmeridae
Product: small nucleolar RNA SNORD50
Exons: 1
Source: RefSeq, a predicted model, not a curated record
UAUUGAGGAUGACAAAAUCCCGAACCUGAUAACUGUGACUGAAAACAUUAUCGGAUCUGAUUUCUGAAAU